Molecule: long non-coding RNA, 268 nt
Organism: Hevea brasiliensis (rubber tree)
Lineage: Eukaryota; Viridiplantae; Streptophyta; Magnoliopsida; Malpighiales; Euphorbiaceae
Exons: 3
Source: RefSeq, a predicted model, not a curated record
UUUCUCGGAUAGAUGGAAGAAGUGAGAGGCUUGAAAUGUUCAUGCAGCUAGAUGUGAAUACGAAGAUUUAUCCCAUUAAAGAAGAAGAGAAGUAUGCAUUGCUAACAACUGCCACUCUUCAUGCUGAUGGAACAGGGCAAGCAAGGAUCCAUAGCUGGCAAAUAUGAAUAUGUCAUGUAUGGAAAACUGUACAAGAUCCGGGAGGAAGGUUCAGGAGCUGAUAUUAAAGCGGAGUUAUUUAUUUCCUUUUGUGGCCUUUGGACGUCGC